GUUCUUGUAGUUGAAUACAACGAUGGUUUUUCAUAUCAUAGGUCAUGGUUUAAACCCAUGUGGGAAUU
Non-coding RNA from Fukomys damarensis (Damara mole-rat), 68 nucleotides. Lineage: Eukaryota; Metazoa; Chordata; Mammalia; Rodentia; Bathyergidae. The record is from Ensembl.